Long non-coding RNA from Erpetoichthys calabaricus (reedfish), 543 nucleotides. RefSeq lists it as uncharacterized. The transcript is spliced from 4 exons. The record is from RefSeq and is a predicted model, not a curated record. Lineage: Eukaryota; Metazoa; Chordata; Cladistia; Polypteriformes; Polypteridae.
ACGUGGACUUCUUGCUGGAAAAGAUGGAAACUUUUGAAUUUUAUAACGUCUUGGAAGAAUAUUUGUCGCCUGAAAAUUUUAACUCCAUUCAAAUGAAGAGGGAGCGAAAUGAAAUGCGAUGAUGCCUGGUGGUAACCAGCCUUCCAAGUGGCUGAACAGAUUCCAGUGUACCUGAAUUCUGAGACACAACUGGAUGUUCUUUUCUUCUGCUUUUAAGAUUUCCAAUUCGAGAUGAUGUGCAGUUCAUGUUAGAUUUGCUAUUUCUACAGUUACAGUGAAGUAGAAGAGUCUGGCCGUGUUAUGGGGCAGCAGUUAAAGAAGAAGGAAGGAGAGAUUUGUGCCCUGUUGAAGUAGUGGCUGGUCCUCCUGCCCGCACUUCUAGAAUCCUCCAUCUCAACCUCUGCUCUGAUCUGCUGUGCCUUUGCCAAGUGAUCACGAGUUUAUUGCAAUGGUGCCCCCUGCAUCUCCACUGUCCGUUACAUCAACUGAAACUGCCUGUGAUGCCGGAGAGAAGAAAAGUUCACAAGACGUCUUGGAAUGGAA